RNAcentral lists this Y RNA (98 nucleotides) under Rhinopithecus bieti (black snub-nosed monkey). RNAcentral describes it as "Y RNA (ENSRBIG00000006894.1)". It matches the Rfam family "Y RNA". Rfam says of the family: Y RNAs are components of the Ro ribonucleoprotein particle (Ro RNP), in association with Ro60 and La proteins. The Y RNAs and Ro60 and La proteins are well conserved, but the function of the Ro RNP is not known. In humans the RNA component can be one of four small RNAs -- hY1, hY3, hY4 and hY5. Lineage: Eukaryota; Metazoa; Chordata; Mammalia; Primates; Cercopithecidae. The record is from Rfam by way of RNAcentral.
GGCUGGUAAGUGCAAUGGUGUUUACAACUAACUGAUCACAACCAGUUAUAGAUUUAUUUGUUCCUUCUCUCACUCCUCCUUCACUUGACCAGCCUUAA